This 89-nucleotide transfer RNA is filed under the name Oscillospiraceae bacterium. Its description in RNAcentral is "tRNA-Leu". It matches the Rfam family "tRNA". From Rfam's summary of the family: Transfer RNA (tRNA) molecules are approximately 80 nucleotides in length. Their secondary structure includes four short double-helical elements and three loops (D, anti-codon, and T loops). The record is from RNAcentral. Lineage: Bacteria; Bacillati; Bacillota; Clostridia; Eubacteriales; Oscillospiraceae.
GCCGGAGUGGUGGAAUUGGCAGACACCCGGGACUUAAAAUCCCGUGGAGAGAGAUCUCCGUGACGGUUCGACCCCGUUCUCCGGCACCA